This 3258-nucleotide ribosomal RNA is filed under the name Triticum aestivum (bread wheat). RNAcentral describes it as "partial small subunit ribosomal RNA". The record is from RNAcentral. Lineage: Eukaryota; Viridiplantae; Streptophyta; Magnoliopsida; Poales; Poaceae.
AUGGAGAUGGUGGAGAAGCUUUCUCUCACCACAAGACCACAUCCACAUCCUUACUACAUCCAAUGGUUCAACAACAGCGGCAAGGUUAAGGUAACACAUACUGUUCGUGUGCAUUUUAGUAUCUCUACAUAUGCUGAUUAUGUUGAUUGUGAUGUGGUACCUAUGCAAGCAUGUUCUUUAUUACUUGGUAGACCAUGGCAAUUUGAUAAAAAUUCUGUACACCAUGGUAGAAACAAUCACUAUACUCUUGUUCAUAAGGAUAAAAAUAUUACUUUGCUUCCUAUGACUCCUGAUUCCAUUUUGAAAGAUGAUAUUAAUAGAGCUAAUAAAGCAAAACAGGAGACGAAUAAGAGUGAAAAUCAGAUUGUGGCAAAAGAAUUUGAGCAACAAAUGAAGCCUAAUAAUAAACCAUCUAGUGUUGCUUCUGAAAUUAAAUUGAAAAGUGCAUGUUUAUUUGCCACCAAAUCUGAUAUUGAUGAGCUAGAUUUCAGCAAAUCUGUUUGCUAUGAUUUUGUGUGCAAAGAGGAAUUAUUUUCAUUCGAGGACGUGCCUUCCUCUUUGCCUCCUGCUGUCACUAACAUUUUGCAGGACUUCGCUGACGUCUUUCCACAAGACGUGCCACCGGGAUUACCGCCUAUUCGAGGGAUUGAGCAUCAGAUUGACUUAAUUCCCGGUGCUUCACUGCCAAACCGUGCACCAUACCGUACCAAUCCAGAGGAGACGAAGGAGAUUAUGCGUCAAGUACAAGAGCUUCUCGACAAAGGUUAUAUACGCGAAUCCCUUAGUCCUUGUGCUGUUCCUAUUAUUCUAGUGCCGAAAAAGGAUGGUACAUCACGUAUGUGUGUUGAUUGUAGAGGCAUUAAUAAUAUUACUAUUCAUUAUCGUCAUCCUAUUCCUAGGCUAGAUGAUAUGCUUGAUGAAUUGAGUGGCUCUACAAUAUUCUCCAAAGUUGAUUUGCGUAGUGGAUACCAUCAAAUUCGUAUGAAAUUGGGAGAUGAAUGGAAAACAGCAUUCAAAACUAAGUUUGGAUUAUAUGAGUGGUUAGUCAUGCCUUUUGGGUUAACUAAUGCACCUAGUACUUUCAUGAGAUUAAUGAACGAAGUUUUACGUGCUUUCAUUGGAGGAUUUGUGGUAGUUUACUUUGAUGACAUAUUGAUUUAUAGCAGAUCUUUGGAAGAACAUUUGGAACAUUUACGUGAUGUUUUUAUUGCUCUACGUGAUGCACGUUUGUUCGGUAACCUUGGGAAGUGCACCUUUUGCACCGACCGAGUAUCUUUUCUUGGCUAUGUUGUUACUCCACAGGGAAUUGAAGUUGAUAAAGCCAAGAUUGAAGCUAUUGAGAGUUGGCCGCAACCCAAAACGGUCACACAAGUGAGGAGUUUUCUUGGCCUCGCUGGAUUCUAUAGGCGUUUUGUGAGAGAUUUCAGCACCAUUGCUGCACCUCUCAAUGAGCUUACAAAGAAAGAUGUGCCUUUUCUUUGGGGUACCGCACAGGAAGAAGCCUUCUCGGUAUUGAAAGAUAAGUUGACACAUGCUCCUUUACUCCAACUUCCUGAUUUUAAUAAGACUUUUGAGCUUGAAUGUGAUGCUAGUGGAAUUGGAUUAGGCGGUGUGUUAUUACAAUAUGGCAAACCUGUUGCAUACUUUUCUGAAAAAUUGAGUGGGCCUAGUCUGAAUUAUUGUACUUAUGAUAAAGAAUUAUAUGCUCUUGUUCGGACUUUAGAAACAUGGCAACAUUAUUUAUGGCCCAAAGAAUUUGUUAUACAUUCUGAUCAUGAAUCUUUGAAACAUAUUAAAAGUCAAGCUAAACUGAAUCGUAGACAUGCUAAAUGGGUUGAAUUCAUUGAGACUUUUCCUUAUGUCAUUAAACACAAGAAGGGAAAAGAAAAUGUUAUUGUUGAUGCAUUGUCUCGCCGCUAUACUAUGCUUUCACAACUUGACUUCAAAAUAUUUGGUUUGGAGACCAUCAAAGAUCAACAUGUGCAUGAUGCUGAUUUUAAAGAUGUAAUGCAGAAUUGUAAAGAAGGAAGAAUGUGGAACAAGUUCGUCGUUAACGAUGGAUUUGUGUUUCGUGCUAACAAGCUAUGCAUUCCAGCUAGCUCCGUUCGUCUUUUGUUGUUGCAGGAGGCGCAUGGAGGAGGAUUAAUGGGACACUUUGGCGUGAAGAAGACGGAGGACGUACUUGCUACACAUUUCUUUUGGCCAAAGAUGAGACGGGAUGUUGAGCGUUUUAUUGCUCGAUGCACUACAUGUCAAAAAGCUAAGUCACGACUCAAUCCUCAUGGUUUAUAUAUGCCUUUGCCUGUACCUAGUGUUCCUUGGGAGGAUAUAUCUAUGGACUUUGUUUUAGGUUUACCUCGAACAAAGAAGGGGAAGGAUAGCAUAUUUGUUGUCGUGGAUAGAUUCUCGAAAAUGGCACACUUUAUACCAUGUCAUAAAAGCGAUGAUGCUGUUAAUGUUGCUGAUUUGUUCUUUCGUGAAAUUAUUCAUCGUGAUACUAAAUUUCUUAGCCACUUUUGGAGAUGUUUAUGGGCUAAGUUGGGGACUAAACUGCUUUUUAGUACUACUUGUCACCCCCAAACUGAUGGACAAACUGAAGUAGUCAAUAGAACGUUGUCUACUAUGCUUAGGGCUGUUUUGAAGAAUAAUAAGAAAAUGUGGGAGGAAUGCUUACCUCAUAUUGAAUUUGCUUAUAAUCGUUCAUUGCAUUCUACUACUAAGAUGUGCCCUUUUGAAGUUGUGUAUGGUUUCCUACCUCGUGCACCUAUUGAUUUGUUGCCUCUUCCAUCUUCGGAGAAGGUUAAUUUUGAUGCUAAACAACAUGCUGAAUUGAUUUUAAAAAUGCAUGAGUUAACUAAGGAAAACAUUGAGCGUAUGAAUGCUAAAUAUAAACUUGCUGGAGAUAAGGGUAGAAAACAUGUUGUGUUUGCACCUGGAGAUCUUGUUUGGUUACAUUUGCGUAAGGAUAGAUUUCCUGAUUUGCGCAAAUCAAAGCUAAUGCCACGUGCUGAUGGUCCCUUUAAGGUGUUAGAGAAAAUAAAUGAUAAUGCAUAUAAACUUGAGCUGCCUGCAGAUUUUGGGGUUAGUCCCACUUUUAACAUUGCAGAUUUGAGGCCUUAUUUGGGUGAGGAAGAUGAGUUUCCGUCCAGGACGACUUCAUUUCAAGAAGGGGAGGAUGAUGAGGACAUCAAUACCAUUGUUACACCCACAGCCCCUACUGCUACAUAUACGGGACCAAUUACUAGAGCUCGCGAAUAG